GACGAACGCUUGCGGCGUGCUUAACACAUGCAAGUCGAACGGAAAGGCCCUGCUUUUGUGGGGUGCUCGAGUGGCGAACGGGUGAGUAACACGUGAGUAACCUGCCCUUGACUUUGGGAUAACUUCAGGAAACUGGGGCUAAUACCGGAUAGGAGCUCCUGCUGCAUGGUGGGGGUUGGAAAGUUUCGGCGGUUGGGGAUGGACUCGCGGCUUAUCAGCUUGUUGGUGGGGUAGUGGCUUACCAAGGCUUUGACGGGUAGCCGGCCUGAGAGGGUGACCGGCCACAUUGGGACUGAGAUACGGCCCAGACUCCUACGGGAGGCAGCAGUGGGGAAUAUUGCACAAUGGGCGGAAGCCUGAUGCAGCAACGCCGCGUGCGGGAUGACGGCCUUCGGGUUGUAAACCGCUUUCGCCUGUGACGAAGCGUGAGUGACGGUAAUGGGUAAAGAAGCACCGGCUAACUACGUGCCAGCAGCCGCGGUGAUACGUAGGGUGCGAGCGUUGUCCGGAUUUAUUGGGCGUAAAGGGCUCGUAGGUGGUUGAUCGCGUCGGAAGUGUAAUCUUGGGGCUUAACCCUGAGCGUGCUUUCGAUACGGGUUGACUUGAGGAAGGUAGGGGAGAAUGGAAUUCCUGGUGGAGCGGUGGAAUGCGCAGAUAUCAGGAGGAACACCAGUGGCGAAGGCGGUUCUCUGGGCCUUUCCUGACGCUGAGGAGCGAAAGCGUGGGGAGCGAACAGGCUUAGAUACCCUGGUAGUCCACGCUGUAAACGGUGGGUACUAGGUGUGGGGUCCAUUCCACGGGUUCCGUGCCGUAGCUAACGCUUUAAGUACCCCGCCUGGGGAGUACGGCCGCAAGGCUAAAACUCAAAGGAAUUGACGAGGCCCCGCACAAGCGGCGGAGCAUGCGGAUUAAUUCGAUGCAACGCGUAGAACCUUACCUGGGUUUGACAUGGAUCGGGAGUGCUCAGAGAUGGGUGUGCCUCUUUUGGGGUCGGUUCACAGGUGGUGCAUGGCUGUCGUCAGCUCGUGUCGUGAGAUGUUGGGUUAAGUCCCGCAACGAGCGCAACCCUUGUUCACUGUUGCCAGCACGUUAUGGUGGGGACUCAGUGGAGACCGCCGGGGUCAACUCGGAGGAAGGUGGGGAUGACGUCAAGUCAUCAUGCCCCUUAUGUCCAGGGCUUCACGCAUGCUACAAUGGCUGGUACAGAGAGUGGCGAGCCUGUGAGGGUGAGCGAAUCUCGGAAAGCCGGUCUCAGUUCGGAUUGGGGUCUGCAACUCGACCUCAUGAAGUCGGAGUCGCUAGUAAUCGCAGAUCAGCAACGCUGCGGUGAAUACGUUCCCGGG
This 1343-nucleotide ribosomal RNA is filed under the name uncultured bacterium. RNAcentral's name for it is "16S ribosomal RNA". It matches the Rfam family "Bacterial small subunit ribosomal RNA", at positions 28 to 1378 of the family's 1533-position model. The record is from RNAcentral.